AGCGAGUCCUAAACAGCAGGUGCGGUAGAGAGCGAGUCCUAAACAGCAGGUGCGGUAGAGAGCGAGUCCUAAACAGCAGGUGGGGUAGAGAGCGAGUCCUAAACAGCAGGUGCGGUAGAGAGCGAGUCCUAAACAGCAGGUGGGGUAGAGAGCGAGUCCUAAACAGCAGGUGGGGUAGAGAGCGAGUCCUAAACAGCAGGUGCGGUAGAGAGCGAGUCCUAAACAGCAGGUGGGGUAGAGAGCGAGUCCUAAACAGCAGGUGGGGUAGAGAGCGAGUCCUAAACAGCAGGUGGGGUAGAGAGCGAGUCCUAAACAGCAGGUGCGGUAGAGAUGGAGAGAGAGUCCUAAACAGCCG
Long non-coding RNA from Oncorhynchus keta (chum salmon), 355 nucleotides. RefSeq lists it as uncharacterized. The record is from RefSeq and is a predicted model, not a curated record. The transcript has 3 exons. Lineage: Eukaryota; Metazoa; Chordata; Actinopteri; Salmoniformes; Salmonidae.